AGCGAACGCUGGCGGCAUGCCUAACACAUGCAAGUCGCACGGGGGGGCUUCGGCCUCCCAGUGGCGGACGGGUGAGGAACGCGUAGGGACCUGUCGAGGGGUGGGGGAUAACCGCGGGAAACUGCGGCUAAUACCGCAUGACGCCGCGGCGUGACAGCCGGGUCCAAAGGCGAAAGCCGCCCGCCGAGGGGCCUGCGUCCGAUUAGCUGGUUGGCGGGGUAGCGGCCCACCAAGGCGUCGAUCGGUAGCUGGUCUGAGAGGGUGAUCAGCCACACCGGGACUGAGACACGGCCCGGACUCCUACGGGAGGCAGCAGUGGGGAAUAUUGGACAAUGGGCGCAAGCCUGAUCCAGCAAUGCCGCGUGGGUGAAGAAGGUCUUCGGAUUGUAAAGCCCUUUCGGCGGGGACGAUGGUGACGGUACCCGCAGAAGAAGCCCCGGCUAACUUCGUG
This 451-nucleotide ribosomal RNA is filed under the name uncultured bacterium. Its description in RNAcentral is "partial 16S ribosomal RNA". It matches the Rfam family "Bacterial small subunit ribosomal RNA", at positions 28 to 507 of the family's 1533-position model. The record is from RNAcentral.